UACGAGGGGGGCAAGCGUUGUUCGGAAUUAUUGGGCGUAAAGAGCUCGUAGGCGGCUUGUCACGUCGGGUGUGAAAGCCCGGGGCUUAACCCCGGGUCUGCAUUCGAUACGGGCAGGCUAGAGUGUGGUAGGGGAGAUCGGAAUUCCUGGUGUAGCGGUGAAAUGCGCAGAUAUCAGGAGGAACACCGGUGGCGAAGGCGGAUCUCUGGGCCAUUACUGACGCUGAGGAGCGAAAGCGUGGGGAGCGAACAGG
RNAcentral lists this ribosomal RNA (253 nucleotides) under uncultured bacterium. Its description in RNAcentral is "partial 16S ribosomal RNA". It matches the Rfam family "Bacterial small subunit ribosomal RNA", at positions 524 to 776 of the family's 1533-position model. The record is from RNAcentral.